This 1596-nucleotide ribosomal RNA is filed under the name Salmonella enterica. RNAcentral describes it as "partial 23S ribosomal RNA". It matches the Rfam family "Bacterial large subunit ribosomal RNA", at positions 711 to 2290 of the family's 2925-position model. RNAcentral also lists the same sequence under 1 other name. Lineage: Bacteria; Pseudomonadati; Pseudomonadota; Gammaproteobacteria; Enterobacterales; Enterobacteriaceae. The record is from RNAcentral.
AGACCCGAAACCCGGUGAUCUAGCCAUGGGCAGGUUGAAGGUUGGGUAACACUAACUGGAGGACCGAACCGACUAAUGUUGAAAAAUUAGCGGAUGACCUGUGGCUGGGGGUGAAAGGCCAAUCAAACCGGGAGAUAGCUGGUUCUCCCCGAAAGCUAUUUAGGUAGCGCCUCGUGAAUUCAUCUCCGGGGGUAGAGCACUGUUUCGGCUAGGGGGCCAUCCCGGCUUACCAACCCGAUGCAAACUGCGAAUACCGGAGAAUGUUAUCACGGGAGACACACGGCGGGUGCUAACGUCCGUCGUGAAGAGGGAAACAACCCAGACCGCCAGCUAAGGUCCCAAAGUCAUGGUUAAGUGGGAAACGAUGUGGGAAGGCCCAGACAGCCAGGAUGUUGGCUUAGAAGCAGCCAUCAUUUAAAGAAAGCGUAAUAGCUCACUGGUCGAGUCGGCCUGCGCGGAAGAUGUAACGGGGCUAAACCAUGCACCGAAGCUGCGGCAGCGACACUGUGUGUUGUUGGGUAGGGGAGCGUUCUGUAAGCCUGCGAAGGUGGCCUGUGAGGGUUGCUGGAGGUAUCAGAAGUGCGAAUGCUGACAUAAGUAACGAUAAAGCGGGUGAAAAGCCCGCUCGCCGGAAGACCAAGGGUUCCUGUCCAACGUUAAUCGGGGCAGGGUGAGUCGACCCCUAAGGCGAGGCCGAAAGGCGUAGUCGAUGGGAAACGGGUUAAUAUUCCCGUACUUGGUGUUACUGCGAAGGGGGGACGGAGAAGGCUAUGUUGGCCGGGCGACGGUUGUCCCGGUUUAAGCGUGUAGGCUGGUUUUCCAGGCAAAUCCGGAAAAUCAAGGCUGAGGCGUGAUGACGAGGCACUACGGUGCUGAAGCAACAAAUGCCCUGCUUCCAGGAAAAGCCUCUAAGCAUCAGGUAACAUCAAAUCGUACCCCAAACCGACACAGGUGGUCAGGUAGAGAAUACCAAGGCGCUUGAGAGAACUCGGGUGAAGGAACUAGGCAAAAUGGUGCCGUAACUUCGGGAGAAGGCACGCUGACACGUAGGUGAAGUGAUUUACUCAUGGAGCUGAAGUCAGUCGAAGAUACCAGCUGGCUGCAACUGUUUAUUAAAAACACAGCACUGUGCAAACACGAAAGUGGACGUAUACGGUGUGACGCCUGCCCGGUGCCGGAAGGUUAAUUGAUGGGGUCAGCGCAAGCGAAGCUCCUGAUCGAAGCCCCGGUAAACGGCGGCCGUAACUAUAACGGUCCUAAGGUAGCGAAAUUCCUUGUCGGGUAAGUUCCGACCUGCACGAAUGGCGUAAUGAUGGCCAGGCUGUCUCCACCCGAGACUCAGUGAAAUUGAACUCGCUGUGAAGAUGCAGUGUACCCGCGGCAAGACGGAAAGACCCCGUGAACCUUUACUAUAGCUUGACACUGAACAUUGAGCCUUGAUGUGUAGGAUAGGUGGGAGGCUUUGAAGUGUGGACGCCAGUCUGCAUGGAGCCGACCUUGAAAUACCACCCUUUAAUGUUUGAUGUUCUAACGUGGACCCGUUACCCGGGUUGCGGACAGUGUCUGGUGGGUAGUUUGACUGGGGCGGUCUCCUCC